Molecule: ribosomal RNA, 611 nt
Filed under: uncultured bacterium
Lineage: Bacteria
Description: bacterial SSU rRNA
Rfam family: Bacterial small subunit ribosomal RNA
Source: RNAcentral
CCUACGGGAGGCAGCAGUGAGGAAUUUUCUGCAAUGGGCGAAAGCCUGACAGAGCAAUACCGCGUGAGGGAUGAAGACUUACUGAGUUGUAAACCUCGGUGCCUUAAGGAAGAAGAUCUGACGGUACUUAAGGUGGAAAGCAUCGGCUAACUCCGUGCCAGCAGCCGCGGUAAGACGGGGGAUGCAAGUGUUAUCCGGAAUUACUGGGCGUAAAGCGUCUGCAGGUGGUUUUAUAAGUCUGCUGUUAAAUCUUGAGGCUCAACCUCAAAUCUGCAGUGGAAACUAUAAGACUUGAGUAUAGUAGGGGUAGAGGGAAUUUCCAGUGGAGCGGUGAAAUGCGUAGAUAUUGGAAAGAACACCGAUGGCGAAGGCACUCUACUGGGCUAUUACUGACACUCAGAGACGAAAGCUAGGGGAGCAAAUGGGAUUAGAUACCCCAGUAGUCCUAGCCGUAAACGAUGGAUACUCGAUGUUGGACGUAUCGACCCGUUCAGUAUCUUAGCUAACGCGUUAAGUAUCCCGCCUGGGGAGUACGCGUCGCGAGAGUAGAACGUACAAGUAGAAGUAGACGGACGUGAGACGUGCCGACGACGACGACGAGGGAGGUUAGG